This 468-nucleotide ribosomal RNA is filed under the name uncultured bacterium. Its description in RNAcentral is "partial 16S ribosomal RNA". It matches the Rfam family "Bacterial small subunit ribosomal RNA", at positions 28 to 507 of the family's 1533-position model. The record is from RNAcentral.
GACGAACGCUGGCGGCGUGCUUAACACAUGCAAGUCGAACGGAAAGGCCCUGCUUUUGUCGGGUGCUCGAGUGGCGAACGGGUGAGUAACACGUGAGUAACCUGCCCUUGACUUUGGGAUAACUUCAGGAAACUGGGGCUAAUACCUGAUAGGAGCUCCUGCUGCAUGGUGGGGGUUGGAAAGUUUCGGCGGUUGGGGAUGGACUCGCGGCUUAUCAGCUUGUUGGUGGGGUAGUGGCUUACCAAGGCUUUGACGGGUAGCCGGCCUGAGAGGGUGACCGGCGACAUGGGGACUGAGAUACGGAGCAGAGUCCUACGGGAGGCAGCAGGGGGGAAUAUGGCACAAUGGGCGGAAGCCUGAUGCAGAAACGCCGCGUGCGGGAUGACGGCCUUCGGGUUGUAAACCGCUGUAGCCUGUGACGAAGCGGGAGUGACGGUAAUGGGUAAAGAAGCACCGGCUAACUACAUG